UAUAACGUUACAGAACGAUACAGAAAUAUUUUAUCUCUGAUAGGACUAGUCUUGAUAACUCACAACAGUCGGAGUUUCAGCUGAAACAAAUUUUCUGACACGUAUAAAGUAAAAAGGAUGAUAAUUGUUAUUGACAUUCACAAGAUUUAGACAAUCCUUUUAAAAUGUCUCAAAUCGCUGCUCUGGGUGGAGUUACAGGCAUCAUAGGUCUAGGGGGACUACUUAAUCUGGUUGGUAUGGCAACGCCGAAUUGGGUGGAGUUUAGUUAUGUCAAUAUUGGACUGUGGCAAGUCUGUCUCGAUGGCCACUGUGGAACCAUAUACAACAAAGGAGCUACCUUUAUCACCAUCUGUAUCAUCAUAUUUGUAAACGAAGCGCCGUCAAAUUCACGACUAGGGUAUUCCUCCUGCCUGUGCAUUGUGGGCGGAAUUUUGGUCCUAAUAGGGGGGAUAAUCGGACUUAUCAUCAGCAGACGAUUGAGUUACGGUCCAAAUAACCAGAUAACUUGAAAUUAUUU
Molecule: long non-coding RNA, 517 nt
Organism: Physella acuta
Lineage: Eukaryota; Metazoa; Mollusca; Gastropoda; Physidae
Source: RefSeq, a predicted model, not a curated record